UACGAGGGGCGCGAGCGUUGUUCGGAAUCACUGGGCGUAAAGCGUGCGUAGGCGGUUUUGUAAGUCAGAAGUGAAAGCCUGGGGCUCAACCUCCGAAUUGCUUUUGAGACUGCAAAGCUAGAGUAUUGGAGAGGUUAGUGGAAUUCCGAGUGUAGAGGUGAAAGUCGUAGAUAUGCGGAGGAACACCAGUGGCGAAGGCGACUAACUGGACAAUUACUGACGCUGAGGCACGAAGGCGUGGGGAUCAAACAGG
Molecule: ribosomal RNA, 253 nt
Filed under: uncultured bacterium
Lineage: Bacteria
Description: partial 16S ribosomal RNA
Rfam family: Bacterial small subunit ribosomal RNA
Source: RNAcentral